RNAcentral lists this ribosomal RNA (253 nucleotides) under uncultured bacterium. RNAcentral describes it as "partial 16S ribosomal RNA". It matches the Rfam family "Bacterial small subunit ribosomal RNA", at positions 524 to 776 of the family's 1533-position model. The record is from RNAcentral.
UACGUAGGGGGCAAGCGUUAUCCGGAUUUACUGGGUGUAAAGGGAGCGUAGGCGGCCAUGUAAGUCAGAAGUGAAAGCCCGGGGCUCAACCCCGGGACUGCUUUUGAGACUGUGUGGCUGGAGUGUCGGAGGGGUAAGUGGAAUUCCUAGUGUAGCGGUGAAAUGCGUAGAUAUUCGGAGGAACACCGGUGGCGAAGGCGGCCAACUGGGCUUUAACUGACGCUGAGGCUCGAAAGUGUGGGGAGCAAACAGG